This 212-nucleotide long non-coding RNA is filed under the name Mytilus galloprovincialis (Mediterranean mussel). Lineage: Eukaryota; Metazoa; Mollusca; Bivalvia; Mytilida; Mytilidae. The record is from RNAcentral.
GGGCAGCUGUGUAUGUCCAAAACGAUCCAAGGGUUUGGUAUUAUUGACAAUGAGAAAACGUUUUGAAUAACCAAAAUGACGUGGAUUUCUAUAAUUUAAGGUGACCAUUACGCUGUCAAUAUUGAUCAAACCCUAUACCGUACUAUAUUUAUAAGGCUCCAAUAUGAAACAAUUCAAACAAACUAAUCAACAGCCAUAACGUGAAACACCUU